This is a long non-coding RNA of Oncorhynchus gorbuscha (pink salmon), 1226 nucleotides long. RefSeq lists it as uncharacterized. The transcript has 3 exons. The record is from RefSeq and is a predicted model, not a curated record. Lineage: Eukaryota; Metazoa; Chordata; Actinopteri; Salmoniformes; Salmonidae.
AAAGUUUUUACCUAAUAGUCUAUCUGUAUAUGGGAAGUAGUCUGACUGUGGAAAGUAGCAGAUAGAUAUAUUAAAACAGGUGAGGAUAAAUUAGGCUUGGUGAGAAGGCAGGGUAAUUCUAGGCAAACAGAAUAAUUGAACCUGUACAAUGCUGAAAGAAAUUAAUAUCAAAUGAUAAGUGAUUAGUCUAGAGUAGUGAGAUUUGAGACAUUAACGUUGAAAGUCCCAAAAGGAAUAUCCUAUGGGUGAAAUGUGAUGUCCGAUCAAAAGUCUUCUAUGGACGCGGUUCACAGGAUGGAAAAUACAUACUGAUUAUUUUUAAAGGAACACACACAUAGAGAGACAGAAUAAUAACUAGAAGUAACUAAGUAACGGUAAAUUACAAAUUUAUAGAACUGCACGCACAUAGAAUUUAAAAAUUAUAUAGAAAAGCACAGAGAAAGAGCAAGAACUGAUUAGAACAGUAUUGAGAAGGGUAAACAUGGAAAGGGCAUUGGUAGAGACUCAGACAGUGAAGGAAGAAAAUAGGUCGGGUAAGGAAAAAUAUCAGACACCUUCACCGAAUCAAAACCGAUCAGGACUACUUAGAAAACUCUCCGAUAUAGGAGAGAAAAAUAGACCACGGCCUGGGAGAGAUUUACAGUACUAUAGCAGGGAAGAAGACAGUGCAGAGAGAGAAGGGCAGUUUCCCCUGAUAGAGCUACCCAACCCCCAAGCUGGGAUAGACGACAACGAACCCACGGUUCGGGUCUAUCGACCCUGGACACAGAGGGACGUAGAAAUGGCAGUAGAAGGAAUUCCACACCCAAAAACAGGAAUGGCAGGUUUUGAAAGAGAUCUCAACGGACUAGCGUCCAGUUUCAGGCUAAACACAGGGGAGGUGCUCCCUACUAAAAAUAGCCUUUUUAACUGUAAUGCGCAUUGAAAUAAGCAAGGAAGUGAAAAAGAACCUAGUGGGGUGGGGGUUGGCAACUCUCGCAGAGGUGAAGAGAUAUGCAGUCCACCACAAACAGCAUGGACAGACGGAAAAAAGGAAAAAGGAGAAUAGGAGGGAUGAGUUUUUAAUGGCGGUAUUAGAAGAUAAAGCAACGGGAGGUGAACUACAGGUGAAGUCACUCAAUCCAGUCCCAUAGGCCUGUUGGGGGACCAUACCAAGGCCUCCUGGUGACAGCUAGCUGAAAGAGCUACCCGGAUUCAUAUCGCACUGCGGGAGGACAGGACAUGCU